UGCAUGCGGCAGCUUAACAUGCAGUCGAACGGUAACAGGGAGCUUGCUCCGCUGACGAGUGGCGAACGGGUGAGUAAUACAUCGGAACGUGCCCAGUAAUGGGGGAUAGCUCGGCGAAAGCCGGAUUAAUACCGCAUACGCCCUGAGGGGGAAAGUGGGGGACCGCAAGGCCUCACGUUAUUGGAGCGGCCGAUGGCUGAUUAGCUAGUUGGUAGGGUAAAGGCCUACCAAGGCGACGAUCAGUAGCUGGUCUGAGAGGACGAUCAGCCACACUGGGACUGAGACACGGCCCAGACUCCUACGGGAGGCAGCAGUGGGGAAUUUUGGACAAUGGGGGAAACCCUGAUCCAGCAAUGCCGCGUGUGCGAAGAAGGCCUUCGGGUUGUAAAGCACUUUUGUCAGGGAAGAAAUCCUUUGGGCUAAUACCCUAGGGGGAUGACGGUACCUGAAGAAUAAGCACCGGCUAACUACGUGCCAGCAGCCGCGGUAAUACGUAGGGUGCAAGCGUUAAUCGGAAUUACUGGGCGUAAAGCGUGCGCAGGCGGUUGUGUAAGACAGGUGUGAAAUCCCCGGGCUUAACCUGGGAAUUGCAUUUGUGACUGCACGACUA
Molecule: ribosomal RNA, 610 nt
Filed under: Limnobacter sp.
Lineage: Bacteria; Pseudomonadati; Pseudomonadota; Betaproteobacteria; Burkholderiales; Burkholderiaceae
Description: bacterial SSU rRNA
Rfam family: Bacterial small subunit ribosomal RNA
Source: RNAcentral